CCUACGGGAGGCAGCAGUGGGGAAUAUUGGGCAAUGGGCGCAAGCCUGACCCAGCAACGCCGCGUGAAGGAAGAAGGCUUUCGGGUUGUAAACUUCUUUUAAGAGGGAAGAGCAGAAGACGGUACCUCUUGAAUAAGACACGGCUAACUACGUGCCAGCAGCUGCGGUAAUACGUAGGUCGCAAGCGGUGUCCGGAUUUACUGGGUGUAAAGGGCGUGCAGCCGGGAAGACAAGUCAGAUGUGAAAUCCCGCGGCUCAACCGCGGAAUGGCAUUUGAAACUGUUUUUCUUGAGUACGGGAGAGGGCGUCGGAAUGCCUGGUGUAGCGGUGAAAUGUGGAGAUAUAAGGAAGAACACCAGUGGCGAAGGCGGAUGAC
This 376-nucleotide ribosomal RNA is filed under the name uncultured bacterium. RNAcentral's name for it is "partial 16S ribosomal RNA". It matches the Rfam family "Bacterial small subunit ribosomal RNA", at positions 338 to 729 of the family's 1533-position model. The record is from RNAcentral.